UACGUAGGGUGCGAGCGUUAAUCGGAAUUACUGGGCGUAAAGUGUGCGCAGGCGGCGCUGCAAGUCGAGUGUGAAAUCCCCGAGCUUAACUUGGGAAUUGCGCUCGAAACUACGGCGCUGGAGUAUGGCAGAGGAAGGUGGAAUUCCACGUGUAGCGGUGAAAUGCGUAGAGAUGUGGAGGAACACCAAUGGCGAAGGCAGCCUUCUGGGCCAACACUGACGCUCAUGCACGAAAGCGUGGGGAGCAAACAGG
This 253-nucleotide ribosomal RNA is filed under the name uncultured bacterium. RNAcentral's name for it is "partial 16S ribosomal RNA". It matches the Rfam family "Bacterial small subunit ribosomal RNA", at positions 524 to 776 of the family's 1533-position model. The record is from RNAcentral.